GAUGAACGCUGGCGGCGUGCCUAAUACAUGCAAGUCGAGCGAACGGACGAGAAGCUUGCUUCUCUGAUGUUAGCGGCGGACGGGUGAGUAACACGUGGAUAACCUACCUAUAAGACUGGGAUAACUUCGGGAAACCGUAGCUAAUACCGGAUAAUAUUUUGAACCGCAUGGUUCAAAAGUGAAAGACGGUCUUGCUGUCACUUAUAGAUGGAUCCGCGCUGCAUUAGCUAGUUGGUAAGGUAACGGCUUACCAAGGCAACGAUGCAUAGCCGACCUGAGAGGGUGAUAGGCCACACUGGAACUGAGACACGGUCCAGACUCCUACGGGAGGCAGCAGUAGGGAAUCUUCCGCAAUGGGCGAAAGCCUGACGGAGCAACGCCGCGUGAGUGAUGAAGGUCUUCGGAUCGUAAAACUCUGUUAUUAGGGAAGAACAUAUGUGUAAGUAACUGUGCACAUCUUGACGGUACCUAAUCAGAAAGCCACGGCUAACUACGUG
RNAcentral lists this ribosomal RNA (497 nucleotides) under uncultured bacterium. RNAcentral describes it as "partial 16S ribosomal RNA". It matches the Rfam family "Bacterial small subunit ribosomal RNA", at positions 28 to 507 of the family's 1533-position model. The record is from RNAcentral.